GUUCAAACAUUUAAAAUGUGAGACUGUGGACGGCUCAGUAAAUCAGUCCCUAAUCUGCUCGAUUGUCAAGGUUAUUGGAUAACCGUGGGAAAUCUAGAGCUAAUACAUGCAGUGUGUAGGGGCAACUCUACGGCAUUUAUUAGAGCAUUACCAAUUGAAUGAGUGUAACAGCUUAUUCAGGUUGAAUCUAGAUAACUAUGCAGACCGUAUGGCCUUGUGCUGACGGCGUUUCGAUUGAAUUUCUGCUUUAUCAGCUUGGCGCACGCUUAGUAUGCAUGCGUGGCUUUGACGAAUACGGGAAAUCGGGGUUUGAUUCCGGAGAGGGAGCCUGAGAAACGGCUACCACAUCCAAGGAAGGCAGCAGGCGCGAAAAUUACCCAAUCCAGACAAUGGGAGGUGGUGACGAAAAGUACCGAAUCUGACCCUAUGGGUGAGAGUUUGGAAUGGACGAUAUGUAAAAUUUAUCGAGAAUUCAACUGGAGGGCAAGUCUGGUGCCAGCAGCCGCGGUAAUUCCAGCUCCAGUAGCGUAUCGCAAAGUUGCUGCGCUUAAAACGUUCGUAGUUGGAUCACAGUCUGUGUGUGAGUGGGUUGUAAUUGCGUGCAUUUAACUGACUGUGUGGACGCUGCUGCGAACACCGGUCAGGAGUACGUUUAUAAUUGCAAUCGUAAGCUCACGCACAGUAAUUGCACGCGAGGAUGACUGUUGACCUUUGGUGUGUUGACAGUGGUGUCUCGCGGGGUGUGCCUUGAGUAAAUCAGAGUGCUUAAAGCAGGCGUUACGCUUGAAUGUUGAUAGCAUGGAACGAACAAUAGUGUAUGGUGUGUGUUGGUUUUGGUGUGCAUCAGUUUCGGCUGUUCACACUGCAACACACGACACCGACCACCAAUUACGGAUGUUGGUUCCGUAUUGGGGUACUGAUUAAGAGGAGCGGUUGGGGGCAUUGGUAUUCGGCAGCGAGAGGUGAAAUUCUUAGACCUGCAGAGGACUAACAAAUGCGAAGGCAUCUGUCCAGACCGUAUCCAUUGAUCAAGAGCGAAAGUGCGGGGAUCGAAGAAGAUCAGAUACCUUCCUAGUCCGCACCCUAAACUAUGCCAACUCGGGAUCAGUUUGGAGUAAUAUAUCCACGCUCGAGAUUGGUCCCCCUGGGAAACCUAAAGUCUUUCGGUUGCGGGGGGAGUAUGGUCGCAAGGCUGAAACUUAAAGGAAUUGACGGAAGGGCACCACCAGGGGUGGAGCCUGCGGCUUAAUUUGACUCAACACGGGAAAACUUACCUGGUCCGGACAUUGAAAGGAAUCACUGGCUGAAGCUCAUUGAUAAUACAAUGGCAAGUGGUGCAUGGCCGUUCUUAGUACGUGAAGUGAUUUGUUGUCUCGAUUGACUAAACGUGCGAGAUUUCAGUCUCCAUUUGACGAGUCAGGGAGGGCGUCGAUUCAGUUGCAUUUUUGGUAACAGAGAUGCAUCUAGUCGGCGUCGUAGGCAAUAUUGGCGGAGAUUUUGGAGAGUACGAGUGGUUUCGGUCACUUGUGCUUGAAGCAGUCUCAAUGUUGGUAUUCCCCCUGGCCUUGCAGAGUGUCGUUCGCAAGAGCGAUGUUUUGUAUCAUGGAGAGACGUCGGAAUAUAUACCAAAUCCGAGAAAGUGAAGCCAUAACAGGUCUGUGAUGCCCUUAGAUGUUCAGGGCUGCACGCGCGCUACAAUGGUAAUGACAACGAGUGUCUGCAUCGAAAGAUGUGGGUAAACUUGUAAUCAUUACCGUGAAGGGGAUUGAUGUUUGUAAUUACGUCAUGAAAGAGGAAUCCCUAGUAGAUGUGAUUCAUGAGAUCGCAUCGAUUAAGUCCCUGCCCUUUGUACACACCGCCCGUCGCUACUACCGAGUGAAUAGUGUCAUAAUGCCUUGGGAGCGGACGCCUAUUUAGUGUCAUGCUAGAUGGAUGCUGCAAUCA
RNAcentral lists this ribosomal RNA (1944 nucleotides) under Myxobolus inornatus. RNAcentral describes it as "SSU rRNA". It matches the Rfam family "Eukaryotic small subunit ribosomal RNA". The record is from RNAcentral. Lineage: Eukaryota; Metazoa; Cnidaria; Myxozoa; Bivalvulida; Myxobolidae.